RNAcentral lists this long non-coding RNA (1596 nucleotides) under Zostera marina. RNAcentral's name for it is "long non-coding RNA (ZMAR_LNC005043)". Lineage: Eukaryota; Viridiplantae; Streptophyta; Magnoliopsida; Alismatales; Zosteraceae. The record is from RNAcentral.
CCCAACCAAAAACCUAAGUUGGAACUAACCAACAGAAAGAAAAUAAAAGAGAGUUGAAACAAUUCUCUCAAGAAUUCAGACCAACACAAUUACUCUCAAGACUGAUUAAAUAAAAAUCUGAAAAUAGAUAAAAUAAAUCACAGUGUUGAUAAAACAACAAAUCUGAACCGGGAUAAAAUUAAAAACUCGGUCGAUCAUCGACCCAAUCCACAAAUCGGGAUAUUUGAAAAUCUGAAACUAACCACCAAUCAAUCAGAAAAUAAAUAAAAUCUCUUCGUGUCAAAAUGAACUCAAUGAUUCUAUACAGAUCAUAACAACCUGCUGAAAUAGAAAUCCAGUCAUAAAGCUAAGGAAAAGAAAAUCCAAUUAUGCAUCAACACCAUCAACAAUUCUGAAAUAUAUCAAAUUUAUUCGUUUCAAAAUGAACCCAAAUGACUCUCUAUCGAUCGUAUCAACCUGCUGAAAAAGAAAUCCAAUCAUGACAAUAAGAAAAACCCAAUCAUACAUCAACACCAUCGACCAAUCUAAAAUCUGGAAAUCUAGAACUAACAUAAUCAAAUCUGGAAUUAAAUAAAAUGGGCGCGUUUUUGGGACGGCCGGUUGUUCGAACGGUCCCUUUUGCGGACCUCCGAUCUGGCCGUCCGUUAGAGUGCGAAUUCUCGGCUGUUCAUUCUUCUUCCUCCCACUCGACGCGCGAUGGGACGUGCGCCAUGCCCUGCUGUUGAAUUGGUCCUUCUCAACACCUUUACCGCGAACUGUUCAUCCCGUACGAUGACGUCGUUCUUCCACCUCCUAAUUACUCGUUCCACCCAUAUUUCUAACAUCGUUCUUAUUGGUUACCCUCCGCCGGACUGACGAAUCGCCAUAUAUCUUGCUCUUACCUUCCGAUAACUGUCCCUCUGCAAAUCAGAGCACUUUGCUACCGUCGGCGUUGACCAUUUCCUACAGCAAGCUCCGGUUAUUUAAAAUCAGGUAUCAUACCCAAUCUUUUGUCAAUCGUUUUCUCGUGAAACCAAAAAUUUAUUUUGAAAUCCCUUAUCAUAUACAUUCUGUUCGGUCAAUGUUCACGCCCAGGUGUAUUUUCUACCUAAUCUAUGAAGCUUUAUUCCUGUAAAUACCCAUUAUGUUUAGAUUGCAUUGGGGGAACCAUUACCCCCUUCUUCCCCCCUGAAAGCACGUUAAAAAGUCAAUAAUGUGAUCUCUGGAUCGGGCUUUCUUACAUAAUCAGUUCAUCUAAGAAAUACACCUGGGCGUUGUUCCUUUGAAGUCUGAGUUAUGGUUCGAGUAGCAUGAUUGUCCUGCAAAAAAUCUUGCGAAAUAGAAGGUCACUAUAAAAUCUUAUGUCUACCAAAACUAACUCUAAAACCAUAUGCGAUAUAAUUCUGUUGAAUGAUACCAGAGUUCAAAUAGAAAAAUCUGGUAUAAUCUGUUACAUGUAGUUUAAACGGAAAACCUUAUUAUAAUUUUUUGCAAAUGUAAUAACAUUUAUUAACAUUUUGUUUUUGUUCCUAGAAAGCUUCUCCAAACUUCAUUAAAGAAUCCUGGUCUUAGUUUUUUUUAUUACGACUUUGUAAUUUGAAUUAUUCACUAUUCAAA